Microtus ochrogaster (prairie vole) is the source of this 381-nucleotide non-coding RNA. NCBI's taxonomy places the organism in Eukaryota, Metazoa, Chordata, Mammalia, Rodentia, Cricetidae. The record is from the annotation of a RefSeq genome assembly.
AUGGAGUGGAGCUGGAUCACUCUCUUUCUCAUGUCACUAACUAUAGGUGUCCACUCCCAGGUACAGCUGCAGCAGUCUGGGCCUGAGCUUGUGAGUCCUGGGACCUCAGUGAAAUUGUCCUGCAGGGCCUCUGAACUUAUGAGUUAUCAUAAUAUUCACUGUAAAUAUUAUGUAAAGCAGAGUCCUGGCCAGGGCCUGGAGUGGAUUGCGAGGAUUUACCCUGCAGGUGGUAGUACUAACUACAAUCAGAAAUUCAGGGGCAAGGCCGCACUGACUGCAGACACAUCCUCCAACACAGCCUACAUGGAGCUCAGAAGCCUGACUUUGGAAGACUCUUCGAUUUAUUACUGUGCAAGACACAGUGUUGCAACCACAUCCUGA